RNAcentral lists this ribosomal RNA (503 nucleotides) under uncultured bacterium. Its description in RNAcentral is "bacterial SSU rRNA". It matches the Rfam family "Bacterial small subunit ribosomal RNA", at positions 28 to 475 of the family's 1533-position model. The record is from RNAcentral.
GACGAACGCUGGCGGCGUGGAUUAGGCAUGCAAGUCGAACGGUAGUAUCCUUUCGGGGAUAUGAGAGUGGCGAACGGGUGAGUAACACGUAGGUAAUCUACCCUCAAAUCGGGGACAACCCAGGGAAACUUGGGCUAAUACCGGAUGAGUGCAGCACCUUGAUUUUCCGGUGGGCGGUGAAUGGUUAAAUCUAUUUACCGGACAUUGGGAAAUGAAGGUGCUGUAUAAAAGAUGGCGUAAGCUGUCGUUUGAGGAUGAGCCUGCGCUCUAUUAGUUAGUUGGUGGGGUAAUGGCCUACCAAGGCGAUGAUAGAUAGGCGGCCUUAACGGGUGGCCGCCCACACUGGGAUUGAGAUACGGCCCAGACUCCUACGGGAGGCAGCAGUCGAGAAUAGUCUACAAUGGACGAAAGUCUGAUAGUGCGACGCCGCGUGAACGAAGAAUCCUUCGGGUGUAAAGUUCUUUUAUAUGUGAGCAAUGCUUUUUAUGUGAAUAGCAUGAGAG